GAAAUGCGAUAAGUAGUGUGAAUUGCAGAAUUCAGUGAAUCAUCGAAUCUUUGAACGCACAUUGCGCCCCUUGGUAUUCCAUGGGGCAUGCCUGUUCGAGCGUCAUUUGUACCCUCAAGCUCUGCUUGGUGUUGGGUGUUUGUCCCAUCUCCGCGCGUGGACUCGCCCCAAAGUGAUUGGCAGCCGGCGUACUGGUCCCGGAGCGCAGCACAUGUCGCGCAAACGAGUGCCUUGGUACGGCGGCGUCCAUAAGCCCCUCUCUCACGCUCUUGACCUCGGAUCAGGUAGGGAUACCCGCUGAACUUAAGC
Molecule: unclassified non-coding RNA, 309 nt
Filed under: plant metagenome
Description: partial contains 5.8S ribosomal RNA, internal transcribed spacer 2, and large subunit ribosomal RNA
Rfam family: 5.8S ribosomal RNA (bases 1-105)
Source: RNAcentral